Molecule: ribosomal RNA, 442 nt
Filed under: uncultured bacterium
Lineage: Bacteria
Description: partial 16S ribosomal RNA
Rfam family: Bacterial small subunit ribosomal RNA
Source: RNAcentral
CCUACGGGAGGCAGCAGUAGGGAAUCUUUCACAAUGGGCGAAAGCCUGAUGGAGCAACGCCGCGUGCAGGAUGAAGGCCUUCGGGUUGUAAACUGCUUUUAUAAGCGAGAAAUAUGAUGGUAACUUAUGAAUAAGGAUCGGCUAACUACGUGCCAGCAGCCGCGGUCAUACGUAGGAUCCGAGCAUUAUCCGGAGUGACUGGGUGUAAAGAGUUGCGUAGGUGGCAUAAUAAGUAGCUAGUGAAAUCUGGUGGCUCAACCAUUCAGCCUAUUAGCUAAACUGUUAAGCUCGAGACCGUUAGGGGUAACUGGAAUUGCUAGUGUAGGAGUGAAAUCCGUAGAUAUUAGAAGGAACACCAAUAGCGUAGGCAGGUUGCUGGGACGGUUCUGACACUAAGGCACGAAAGCGUAGGGAGCAAACGGGAUUAGAUACCCCAGUAGUC